Molecule: non-coding RNA, 797 nt
Organism: Ciona intestinalis (vase tunicate)
Lineage: Eukaryota; Metazoa; Chordata; Ascidiacea; Phlebobranchia; Cionidae
Source: RefSeq, a predicted model, not a curated record
AUAUCGGGACCAUUGAGCACAGAGAAAAUAAGACAAAUGUAUGAAAUCGAAAAAAAACUUUGGUCAUGGAUUGAUUGGUAUAGCUAUGGUAACCAUGGCAACUAUACGACGUGUACCAGUAUAUAAAGUCAGGAGAACUGGGUGCCCAGAUAGCGUAUAAAUCGUAUAUGAGCCAUCUUGUUUGAGAUAAGGGCGAAAGUAUGUAACACUUGUGUCUUUAUAGUAGGGUGGGGAACAUAAGACAUGGGAUUUUAAAAUUUCCAAAUUAAAGAAAGCUUUCGAAGAAUAGACUCCUGUUAAAAUGAUGCGUUUAAUGGACGAUGCCCUCAGAGGUGCUAUAUGUCAAACACUGGACGCUAAUCGUGAUUUGAAUGAAUUCCUGCGUACAGAACUUAAUUUGCAAGAAAAUCAGAGAAUGCAGUGGAAUAAGGGUCUAGAUAGAGAAGUAAUGGGGACCGAGGAUGAAGAACAUAUUAAACAUCUGUUUGCAACUCUAACCCAUCCUAUACGGAUUGAAGUUUGGUACGAAAUUGUAUAGCUGUCAUAAUGGCGACACACACAUAUAUAUACAUGUUUUGCUAAGCGUGUUCCCUGCGAUUAAUUAAAAACUAUAUAAUCAAAGUUAAUUUUAAAAUUCACCAUCUUAUCACGCUCUUUAUGUACGCUUAGAAAUUCAUAGUUUAUACUAUUUAGAUUCUAGAACAUAUUCUUCACAAUUGUAUUUCGAAGUACAUUUAUCGCGUAGAAACUCCUAACUCGUAAAACUUGUAGCAAUAAAAGUUGUCUUUAUGGUCAAA